This 782-nucleotide long non-coding RNA is filed under the name Phoenix dactylifera (date palm). RNAcentral's name for it is "long non-coding RNA (PDAC_LNC001912)". The record is from RNAcentral. Lineage: Eukaryota; Viridiplantae; Streptophyta; Magnoliopsida; Arecales; Arecaceae.
AUAGGUAAGUGGUCAACGAAACAAUUGACCAACUUUCUCAUGAUACUUUACCUAUAAUGAGAAGAAGAUCGAUACAACGAUAUCAGUUUUAGAUUCUCAAGAGGAGAGAACUAUAUUGUAGGCUAAAUAAGUGAAGAGAUGGCCAGAAUAAGCUGCCAGGGUAAAUCAGAGCUUGACAGGGUCUCGUAGUUGCAGAGUGAUUGUGUUUGUAUAUGUGCAUAGUAGGAAGACAAUUGGAAACACUUACCAAAAUCAUCAAGAAUGGAGACUAAUGUGGGAAGCAACCGUCAGAGGGGACAGUUAUUAUGUUUGCAAGCAGUUGUUGUGUAUUAAUAUAAAUAGUAAAAUUGUACUCUACAAAGGAUCCUUCGACAAUCAAUUCAAUCAUAUUAGUUUAUCUUUCUCUUAAUCUUUUAUCCUACGAGUAUGUGUAACUUAGAUUAUCUAUCAGAGCUCAAUAUUACACUCCUACCAUAAUUUAGUAUUACAUCCUUAUUAUAACCUAGUGCUAUACCCUAUUGUAGCCCAAUGCUACACCCUUAAUUAUAGUCUAGCACUAUACCCCCUAUCAAAUUCUAUCUUAUUCGAAUGAUGGUAUGAUAGUGGCGAAAGUUUUUGAAAGUCAAAGCACCUAGACCCAUGCUAUUCUCUAUCUUCUAUUCGAUUAAUAUCUUUCUGACUAGUUAUGGCACGCUCGCGCACACAUCUAACUUUUUCUGACUCAUUCAGAAUAAGAUAGAAAGGGUGGCAAUAGGAGACCACAACAUCUUGGAGACAUCAAA